UAGGAAUCUACCUGGUAGUGGGGGACAACUCGGGGAAACUCGAGCUAAUACCGCAUACGCCCUUCGGGGGAAAGCGGGGGAUCUUCGGACCUCGCGCUAUUGGAUGAGCCUGCGUUGGAUUAGCUUGUUGGUGAGGUAAAAGCUCACCAAGGCGACGAUCCAUAGCUGGUCUGAGAGGAUGAUCAGCCACACUGGGACUGAGACACGGCCCAGACUCCUACGGGAGGCAGCAGUGGGGAAUAUUGCGCAAUGGGCGAAAGCCUGACGCAGCCAUGCCGCGUGUGUGAAGAAGGCCUUAGGGUUGUAAAGCACUUUCAAAAGGGAAGAAAAGCUGUACGUUAAUAGCGUGCAGCCCUGACAUUACCUUUAGAAGAAGCACCGGCUAACUCCGUGCCAGCAGCCGCGGUAAUACGGAGGGUGCGAGCGUUAAUCGGAAUUACUGGGCGUAAAGCGCGCGUAGGCGGUUUGUUAAGUCAGCUGUGAAAGCCCCGGGCUCAACCUGGGAAUUGUAGUUGAUACUGGCAAGCUAGAGUACGAGAGAGGGAGGUAGAAUUCCAUGUGUAGCGGUGAAAUGCGUAGAUAUAUGGAGGAAUACCAGUGGCGAAGGCGGCCUCCUGGCUCGAUACUGACGCUGAGGUGCGAAAGCGUGGGUAGCAAACAGGAUUAGAUACCCUGGUAGUCCACGCCGUAAACGAUGUCUACUAGCCGUUGGGAGACUUGAUUUCUUAGUGGCGCAGCUAACGCAAUAAGUAGACCGCCUGGGGAGUACGGCCGCAAGGUUAAAACUCAAAUGAAUUGACGGGGGCCCGCACAAGCGGUGGAGCAUGUGGUUUAAUUCGAUGCAACGCGAAGAACCUUACCAGGCUUUGACAUCCUCGGAACUUUCUAGAGAUAGAUUGGUGCCUUCGGGAACCGAGUGACAGGUGCUGCAUGGCUGUCGUCAGCUCGUGUCGCGAGAUGUUGGGUUAAGUCCCGUAACGAGCGCAACCCUUGUCCUUAGUUGCCAGCACUUCGGGUGGGAACUCUAAGGAGACUGCCGGUGACAAACCGGAGGAAGGUGGGGACGACGUCAAGUCAUCAUGGCCCUUACGGCCUGGGCUACACACGUGCUACAAUGGAACGCACAGAGGGCAGCAAACCCGCGAGGGGGAGCGAAUCCCACAAAACGUUUC
RNAcentral lists this ribosomal RNA (1172 nucleotides) under uncultured bacterium. RNAcentral's name for it is "bacterial SSU rRNA". It matches the Rfam family "Bacterial small subunit ribosomal RNA", at positions 118 to 1287 of the family's 1533-position model. The record is from RNAcentral.